RNAcentral lists this transfer RNA (73 nucleotides) under Nanosynbacter sp. Its description in RNAcentral is "Candidatus Nanosynbacter sp. tRNA-Met". It matches the Rfam family "tRNA". From Rfam's summary of the family: Transfer RNA (tRNA) molecules are approximately 80 nucleotides in length. The record is from RNAcentral. Lineage: Bacteria; Bacillati; Minisyncoccota; Nanosynbacteria; Nanosynbacterales; Nanosynbacteraceae.
UACGAGGUAUAUCAGCGGUUAGAUUGUCGGUCUCAUAAGCCGAAUGUCGCGGGUUCGAGUCCCGCUCUCGUAA